RNAcentral lists this ribosomal RNA (512 nucleotides) under uncultured Eubacteriales bacterium. RNAcentral's name for it is "bacterial SSU rRNA". It matches the Rfam family "Bacterial small subunit ribosomal RNA", at positions 879 to 1395 of the family's 1533-position model. Lineage: Bacteria; Bacillati; Bacillota; Clostridia; Eubacteriales. The record is from RNAcentral.
AGUGCGGCCGCAAGGUUAAAACUCAAAGGAAUUGACGGGGGCCCGCACAAGCAGUGGAGUAUGUGGUUUAAUUCGAGGCAACGCGAAGAACCUUACCAGGGCUUGACAUCGCCUGACAGCGCUAGAGAUAGCGUGUCUCUUCGGAGCAGGUAGACAGGUGGUGCAUGGUUGUCGUCAGCUCGUGUCGUGAGAUGUUGGGUUAAGUCCCGCAACGAGCGCAACCCUUGCCGUUAUUUGCCAUCAUUAAGUUGGGCACUCUAUCGGGACUGCCGGUGAUAAAUCGGAGGAAGGUGGGGAUGACGUCAAAUCAUCAUGCCCCUUAUGUCCUGGGCUACACACGUACUACAAUGGCCACUACAAUGGGAAGCGAUACCGCGAGGAGGAGCAAAUCCCCAAAGGUGGCCCCAGUUCGGAUUGUAGGCUGAAACUCGCCUACAUGAAGUCGGAAUUGCUAGUAAUUGCAGGUCAGCAUACUGCAGUGAAUACGUUCCCGGGCCUUGCACACACCGCCC